This is a long non-coding RNA of Strigops habroptila (Kakapo), 1552 nucleotides long. RefSeq lists it as uncharacterized. Lineage: Eukaryota; Metazoa; Chordata; Aves; Psittaciformes; Psittacidae. The record is from RefSeq and is a predicted model, not a curated record. The transcript is spliced from 2 exons.
AUUCUGAGUCAGAAAAUGAGGAGGCUGCGGCGAGUGGCGCUGGACCCCUUCGGGGCUCGGGUGCCGGGGAGGAGGGGCGUGGGACACCGGGGGACCUUGUGGAGGAACUUGGCAGGGCGAUGGAUGUGCUGGAGGCGCAGGCGGGGAUGCGGGGACGCGCCUUGGAGCGGCUGGGCGAAACCCCGCCCCCUGUGGCGCAGCCAAAUUGGAACUUGAUUGCGAAAGACUGUGUGCUAAGUGGCGUAACCCUAGAAGCUGUACCUGCGGCCGCGCCUCCACAGGCGUUCCCUGUUCAGGUUGGGCCACCAGGAGGAGCUAUGUGGACGCCCCUAGACGCUAAGUUGGUUCAGGCCCUUCACAAGGCAAUAAAAGAGGAAGGUUUGUCGAGCGAAACCACACCUAUGCUGCUCGACUCCGCCCACGUCCAGCCACUAGCCCCUGCCGACGCUAGGCAGCUGGCAAGGGCGGUACUAACUGGCCUGCUAUUCCUUCUUUUGAAGGAGGCAUGGUAUCUCGAACUGCAAGGCCGCAUACAAGCUGCAACGACAGAUCCCACCCAUCCCCUCCGACAGUCCACUUUUGAUAGGUCACCGGGGCGGGAGGGGAUACUAACAUUCUUGUAAGCUCGCAGCCAAUGAUGUUUAUAAUAGAUGAUGAAGAGCAGGGAAAACAGUUGGUUGCCACAGUGACUCCUGUUAUUGCUAGGAUAGAACAAGCCCUGUUAGGCCGAGAUGCACUCCGUCAAAUGGGAAUUACUAUGAAGGAUUUUUAGGGGGGGCCACUGCUCAACCUGACCCACAACAAGAUAGAAUUACUUGGCUGACGAAUGAUCCGGUUUGGGUGGAACAGUGGCCCCUCACUCAAGAAAAAUUACAAGCAGCCAAGGAAAUUGUGAAGGUAGAAGCUCAAAGUGGUCAUCUUGAGCCUUCUACUAGUCCAUGGAACACCCCGAUAUUCGUAAUUCGAAAGAAAAACAAAAACAAAUGGAGAUUACUCCAUGACCUGAGAGCUGUGAAUGCGCAGAUGGAAGCGAUGGGACCUUUGCAAACUGGUCUGCCGCUUGUUUCUGCUAUCCCACAGGAUUGGUAUAUCAUAAUAAUUGAUAUUCGAGAUUGUUUUUUCAGCAUCCCUCUUGCCCUGGAAGACCGGAAAAGGUUUGCCUUUACCCUACCUGCAAUCAAUUUGGAGGAGCCAGCAACACGCUGGCAAUGGACAGUCCUGCCACAAGGACUGGAUUGUCGGACACCCUCGCAACCGGUACGUCUCAGUGACGAAUGAAGAUGACAAGGAAGAGGAUCAGACCUGAUGCUUCUACAGCAAGGGGGAGUGUGCACUGCACUAGAGGAAGAGUGUUGUGUAUAUGCAGACCACACCAGAAUAGUAAAAGACACUAUGACCAAAUUGCAGAAAGGUCUGGAAAAAAACGAAGGAGGGAACGAGAGGCACAGCAAAGUUGGUUUACGUCAUGGUUCAACCAUUCACCAUGGCUGACCACCCUGAUAUCUACCUAAUGGGACCAAUCACAACGAUUGUAAUAGCAGUGAUUUUGGGA